GAGGUUGAAAGGUGGACGCUGUGCUCGCCAACCGGGUCAGGUCUGGAAAGAAGCAGCCCUAACGAUGCUAUAGUGGGUCAUUUUUUCAGCCUCUCA
This is a signal recognition particle RNA of 96 nucleotides. It matches the Rfam family "Bacterial small signal recognition particle RNA". From Rfam's summary of the family: The signal recognition particle (SRP) is a universally conserved ribonucleoprotein involved in the co-translational targeting of proteins to membranes. Archaeal SRP consists of a 7S RNA and homologues of the eukaryotic SRP19 and SRP54 proteins.